Molecule: long non-coding RNA, 605 nt
Filed under: Setaria viridis
Lineage: Eukaryota; Viridiplantae; Streptophyta; Magnoliopsida; Poales; Poaceae
Description: long non-coding RNA (SVIR_LNC002729)
Source: RNAcentral
AGAGAGCAAACAACCUGUUUGACUUCAUAUGUUGUGGAUGGUAAUUCAUUAUUCUCGGGAAGUAUGUUCUUUAUAAUUUUCAAUAUCCCUUUAAAUGCUUUAUCGGACACACCAUUUUUUACCUUCCAUUGUAGCAUUUCCAGUGUGGUACCCAAUUUUUUAUGUCCUGCUUGCAAUCUGGGUACAACAAUUUUUUGUGAUCAUCUAUCAUGCACUGCAACUUUUCUGAUUCCUUCUCAGUUUCGCAGUCUUUCUUUGCAUCCCAUAGCACCAGACAAAGAUUAUUAAUAGGGUCAUCUUCUGCAAACUUUUCUUCAUCAGCCUUGCCCAUUGUAGUAUCUGUAAAAGCUUGGCCUACAGCCCAAUCCGAAAUAUUUUUAUCCUCCUCCUCUUCUUCGCCGUCUUCCAUUAUAACCCCUCUUUCACUGUGCUCUAUCCAAAUCAAAUAGUUAGGUAUGAAACCGUAUCUAAACAAGUGGCUGUGAAAGUCCCCCAGGAAGAGUAGUCCUUUUUCGUUACUGCAUUAGAAGCAUAGACAACAUAUGAAUCCCUUCUCUAGCUUAUUGGCUUUGGCCACUUUGAGAAAAUAAUGCAAGACAUCAACA